CAUGAUCUGAUAUAGUUUUGAUUGGUCAUAUAAGGUUACUGGCUAGCUGAAUAGAGAUUUCCUACGUGCUACUAUAAGUUUCAAACGGUCAGCUUAUUAGCUGGGUUCACUUAGCAAAAAUGUAGCUCUCAGCCUUAAACCACCAUGCAUCAUAUACUAGAAAGUUUGCUGAUAGAACAAGAAAGGCGUUGCUAGUACUGUUCAUUGAAGUGCAAUCAGCUAUGUUCUUGCUUUGUGCAUUUGAGGCUUCAAGCAAAUUGAGGGGAGCAAAUGCACUUAACUUACACUAUGUAUUUUAACUUGCAUGCCAACUUGUCUUCGUGAUGGUAUCUGUCGUAUCUAGGGUUUCUUUCAUUUUAUUCUUUCCAUCAGCUUUGCAUAAUUCACAUAGAUGACCACAUGCUAUCCACACAAUUAUUUCUUUCAAUUUCUUAUGACUUUGGGUCUUAACUAAAAACCAGCAUGCUUGUAUUGGAUUUUGCUUGUAGCUGUAGUGAAAUUUUGGUCAAAUAUGUUAUGAGUUGUUAUGUAAAAGGACGACAUGUUAAUCUAUCUCAACUUUUACCAAAUAUACAUAAAAGAAUUAAUAUUAUUUAUGAUACCAAAUAAUUAUAAUUAGACAUACCAUUAACUAUAUUUUCAUAAUAUACCUAUUUGGAGUCAAAAACAUUAAUAAUAUUUUUAUAAACUUAGUAAAACUUAAUAUAGUUUGACUCAAUCCAAAGUGAGAAUUGCAUUCUUUUUGGGACGGAGGUAAUAUAUGUGUAAUAUGUGGUAGUUUUGUUCACUGAAUUUUGGCCCUAGUCUUGACCAAUUCCUUGGUCAUCCCUGAAUUUGAGCGCAUAAGUUUAUUUCUACUAGGAAGGAAGAAUGCAAUGUGCAAACUGGAAAACAAGAACAUUCUGCUAUGUCUAUUUCUUUCCUUUAAAUGGAGAAAUGCGACGAGUAAACUGAAAAAACAACAUGUUGCUAUGGCUGUUCCUUUACCUUACAUGGAGAAAUGCGUUGAGUAAUAAACUGAAAAGAAAAAAACAGCAACAUAUUGCUAUGGCUGUUUCUUCCCUUUACAUGGAGAGACUGGGAAAUGGGGAAUUGGAGAAAAUAUUACUGGCUGGCAAAGUCUUUGAUUUGAAGAAGGAAAGUGGAAGGGAAAUGGGGAACAUGGAUCCAAAACUCUUCUUUUUUCAAUCUGCAUUUAUUUUUAGAAAUGAGCAUGAAGGAUGUUUCAUAUAAGUUUGGAACUGAACCGGAAAUUCAUUCAAAAUUUCACAGGUUGAUAUGAGUUGUUAAUUUGAGGCUGUACAGUUCCAUCAGCAAUGGUUUAUUGUACUCACUGUGCUGAUUACUGCCCCUCCAUAAAGGACCCCGACAAAGGAUACAUAUGUUGUGGUACAUGUGGAAAGGUUCUUGAUCAGGAAAUAUAUACUGAUGAGCCUAAUUUUGUUAAAGAUAGCACGGGGCAGAGCCGCUUGGCUGGAAGUAUUCUGACAAGCAUUGAGUCUGGAUAUUCAAUGUCCCAUCAAAGAACCUUAGGAAAAGGGAAGGAUGAGAUUAGUCAGAUUGUCAAUAACUUACAUAUCAGCGGUGGAGAUACUAUCAUUUCGAAGGCUUUUCAGUACUAUGAGCUAGCUCUUGACCGUAAUUUUACAAGGGGUCGUAGAACAACACAUGUUGCAGCUGCUUGCCUUUACAUUGCCUGCCGGAACAAGUUCCAUGUCGAGGGAUUGUGGAACCAGCAAGCUGUGUAGUCCAUCGAGAGUACAGGGAAGAAUGGAAGUCUGUUUCUAAGAGAAGAAUAGGGAAAAGAUGAGGGAAGGAUCAGACACACUGUAAGGAACUUGCCUUGCUUUGCUAGGCAAAGCUAGCCUCUCCCAGCCAUGCUAGGCGAUGCUAGUGAAGGUUCCAAGCAGACCUUAUUUCGUCCAAAAGGUCAUAUGUGUCAUUGAUUAUUGCUGAAUUCCCAAUUUAAUUUAUUAUGUCUUUCUUAAUGCUCCAAUAUGUCUUUCUUAAUCCUCAAAAUACUGCUUUCACCAUCAUGUUUUUGGUGGUAUCUUUUGCAAAGUCUAUUCUGGCUUGACUUCCUUUUAUUCCUUCUUUUUUUUGGCUUCAGCAAGCUAUAUUGUUUUUUUUGAACUGUACAGCAGGGGAGACCCCCACUGUAGUAGUAUAUUAAAAUUAAUAAAAAUAAGUAAAAAGCUGUACAAAGCAUGGGGAUGGCAUGAUCCCCAUUAAAAAAAACCCAACUUCAGAUGCUACACAUGGUAGCUACUGUACAGAAUUGACCCAAUUUAGAAAGUCCUCUCUACUGUUAUCUUUUAAUCUGUGAGAUUGUAACUUGGCCUCCUCAAUGAAGUGGAAGGUCCAUGAGUUGAUGGAUGGCCUGAUGCCCUCAAAUAUUAAAGCAUUCCUCUGUUUCCAUAUAUUCCAGCAAGCUAUAAUAAAAAUCUCCAUGAAGAAACUGUUGUUGUUUAAUUCUUGAGCUGUCUUCAUCAUUCUGAAGAAUGGAAGGUUCUGAUUCCAUUGCAUGCCAAUCUUGCCCCAGCAAGCUCUACCAAAGUUGCAGUUGAAGAACAAGUGAAAUGCUGUUUCUUCAAUGUUUUCAUUACACAUUACACAACUAUAAUUUCCUCCAUUGUAUGAAAACUCCUUCUUCUCAAUAGGUUCUUUGUGUUUAAUCUGUCCAUUAAAAGAAGCCAACAAAAGACUCUCAACUUGUUGCUGCAUUUGGACUUCCAUAUCCAGAGAAAAGGGUCUGGUGGCUUGAUGUUUCUAAAUUGAAAGUUAUAGAACUGCUUGGAGGAAUAUUUGUUGGAACCCCAUAUGUAGUGCCAAGUGUCUUGUCGAUCUACUGAUACUUGUAUUCCCUGGAUGAUGCUUUGAAGUUCUUCAAACUCUUGGUAGGCUUCCAUUGAUAAUGGUGUGUAGAAUUGCUCUUCUAUAGUGUUGGUUUGUAGGAAUUGUGCCACUGAUAUAUUCUGGUUUUUUGCAAAGCUAAAGAGCCUUGGAAGUGAGUCCUUUAGGAGCCUGUUAUUCCAAACAUCUAACCAGAAAAGAACACUUUUUUCAUCUCCCACCGUACAUGUAGCCACACCUCUGAAUUGGUCACAUAGCUUCAACAGAUCUUUCCACCAAAAUGAACCAACCUCCCCGGCUGCAUGAGGAAUUGUACCAUCUGCAUAAUAGGUACUCCAUAUGAGUUUGACCCAUGGAAUGUCCCUUUUAUUGUAGAAUUUAUCUAAAUGUUUUAAGAGCAAGGCUGUAUUUUGGCUUCUUAAGUUUAUGACUCCAAGUCCCCCCUUCGCCUUUGGUCGAUGUACCUUUUUCCAUGCCACCAGAGGUUUCUUUCUAUCAUUUACAUUAGUACCUCUCCAUAGGCAGUCCCUUCUUGCUCUAUCCAUAUUUUCUACUACUCCUAAUGGGAUCUUCAAGGUGCACAUUGUGUAUGUAGGAAGUGCUGAGAAUACUGAUUUUGUGAGUUCAACCUUGCCAGCAAGUCCUAGGAAUGUGGCUGUAGCAGUUAGCCUUCUCUCCAUUUGAUUCAUAAGGGGGGCGAAAUCGUUUAUUCUGGGCUUUGUGGUUCCAAGUGGUAAACCCAAAUAAGUGAAGGGAAGGGAUCCAAGUUGACAACCAAAAACUCUAGCGAGACUAGAUGCUUUCUCUUGGCUGAGGUUUAGAGGCACCAAACAAGAUUUCUGGUAAUUUACUCUGAGGCCAGUUGAUUGUGAGAAACCCUCAAGAAUUUCUUUCAAGCAGAAUAGUUCUCUUUCCAAGGCUUUCAUUACCAUGAUAGUAUCAUCCGCGUACUGAAUAAUAGGGAAGUCAUUGGAAGCUGAGCAUGGUAUUGGAAGACUGAAAAUCCCUUGGGAGUGAGCUUUGUUCACAAUAUAUUGGAGCAAUUCAGCAGCAAUGACAAAUAGGAGAGGUGAUAAGGGAUCUCCCUGCCUGACCCCCCCCUUUUGCAUUGAAAUUCUUUCCCAGGAGUUCCAUUUAAGAGGAUAGCCGAGGUGCCUGUGUCCAAGAUUCUUUUAACCCAGUUGCACCAGGUAGAUGUGAAACCGAGGUGAUGCAGCAUGCACAAGAUGGUGAUGUGCUCAAUAGUGUCAAAAGCCUUCUCAAAAUCCAGCUUAAGAAUGAUAAUUUCUUGUUUGGAGUAUUGGCAUUGGUGAAUGUACUCAAAUGACCAGGCAAGACAAUCCUGUAUUGUCCUAUUUUUUAUGAAUCCAUAUUGAUUUUGAUGGACUAGAGGAAUAAUAACUCUUUGUAGCCGAUCAGACAUGAUCUUGGUCAAUAGCUUCAAAACUGAGUUUAGGAGGGAGAUGGGCCUGAAAUCAUUGACAGAGCUUGGAUUAUUACAUUUAGGAAUUAGGGUGAUGAAUGAGCUGUUGAUGGCCUUCAGAUCAAGAUUUCCAGCAAAGAAUUCAUUGCAAAGAUCAUAUAUGUCCUCUUUAAUUAUGUGCCAACACUUCUUGAAGAAAAGGCCAUUGAAGCCAUCCGGUCCUGGAGAUUUAUCUGUAGGCAUUUGAGCUAUUGUUUUGUCAAUUUCCUCCCUUGUAACUGGUUCAGAUAAGUGAUCAAGAUUGUUGUGUCUGUGUAUCAGGUUCUCUAGAUCAAUUUGCAGAAUAGGAUUAGUGGUCAUUCCCAUUCUCUUUUUGUAGGCCUCCAAUAGCAGUGCAGCUUUUUCAAAGUGUUCAGUAAUUUGUCUUCCAUCCUCAGUCUCUAAACUAGUUAUUGUAUUGUGCCUGUAUCUCUCAGUUGCUGCUGCAUGAAAAAUUUUUGUACUUUCAUCCCCAAACUUUGUCCAUCUCACUGUAUAUCUCUUUUUCCAAUAUUCCUUCUGAUAUUUGAGCAGUGUGAGGAUAUGCCUUCUUAGAAUGAUUCUGAAGUUUCUCUCUUGAAUAAACAAGGGCCUUUGUUCCUCUAGUUUGUCUAAGAUCAGUAGGACAGAGUUGCAUUCUUUGAUUAAGUUUGAAAGUUGUGCCAUCCCUUUGGUCCAUCUUUUAAUGGCUCUUCUCAAUAGUUUGAAUUUUGCAGUAAUUCUGGUUGCAGCAUUACUACCUCUAACCUCAGAAUUCCAUACACUCUGAACUAGAUCUAUGAAACCUGGAAUGUCCAUCCAAAAAAUUUCAAAUCUGAAAAUCUUUGCUUUUGGGAUUUCUGUGCCAAUUUGUACUUGACAUGGUAUAUGGUCAGAAAUUGGCUUUGCAAGGGGGUGCAUGAGGGUGCUAGGAUAAGAACUUAUCCAAUUAGCCGAGGUAAAGCACCAGUCCAGUUGCUCAAGAAGUGGAUCUUCUUGCAUAUUACUCCAUGUGUAUUUUCUGCCCUUUAAAGGAAUUUCUUGUAUGCCAAGGUUGCUUAUUAUGGAAUUGAAGAGGAAGAUGUCAUUCAUAUUACCCCCAGGUUUGUUUCUGUCACUUAAGUCUCUGUAGAAGUUGAAAUCCCCAAUAAGCAUCCAAUUCUCAUUCUCAGCUAUGGAUAAAUCAUUUAGCCAAUUUACAAAGUUGAUUCUCUCAUCUCCUUGGCAUGGGCCAUAGACUGCAGUGAGUUUCCAGGAGCUGUUGUCAUAUUUUGAGGUAAACUUGACUGUUACAGCAUAAUUGAGACAGUGUAUAACUUCUCCCUUAAAUAUACUACUGUUCCAUCCCAUUAAUAUUCCUCCUGAUGCUCCAAUAGAUGGUGCAUAUGCAAAUUUAUCGAACCUUUUUGGUGCUAGCUUCUUGAUGAAAGAGUGAUCAAAAGUUUCCUUUUUUGUUUCUUGUAUGCAAUACACAGAACAUGUGCUUUCCUCAAUUUUGGCCUUGACAGCUUCACAUUUGCCAUCUCCAUUAAGUCCUCUAACGUUCCAGUUUAGUACAUUCCAGCUUCUCUUAUGAUUUGUAUUAUCCAUUCAGAUUCAUUUGGGAGUAAUUGUAAUAGGAAUGACUCCAAGAGUCACUUCUCACAUUUGCACGCUGGACACACUCAUUCAUCAGACUGCAGGAAUAUUGAUGAUAUAUUUUGAGGUCAUCACAGUUUUUGCAUAGUCUCCAUGCCCAACAUUUGCACUGUAACCAUCUGAUUCUGAUGCUAUCCCAUCCCAGCAUUGAGAAGGUAAUUCCACCAAGAAAAUGGAGUAUGUGAAUAAUUAAACUCGAGUUCGCAAAAGAAGGCCACACAAGACACCAUUCAGGUUUAGGCUGCCACCACAAUAUCCAGCAAUCACAGAUACGAAAUUUAACCCAAGAUAAGCUUAAAAAUAGACAACAUGGAACUAGUACAGGGCAUUCCCUGAGAGGAAGCUUCUUCUUAAGUCUUCUAUCCAUUGAUCACAGGGUUGUUGCUUGAUGCCCUUCCUUCUGCACCAGUUUCAUCUUGAUUGGCCUUCUGGAGGAGCUCUGCCGUCACAUCCGAAGGAGAGAGGCCGCAUCUAUUGAUAGCCACAUUUUGAAUUUCAAUUAUAGGGAUCUCAGGGAAAAUACCCUCUGUUUUUUCAAGAGUGCCUAAGCCAGGGAAUUCAAUUUCUUGAUCAAGUGCAGGGAGGAGUAGUUUACCAGUCAGCUGGGAAUGGCUGGCAACCUCCUUGGGGCCUUUCUUUCUUCUUUUCAGAGUUUCUCCAUUGAUAGCAUCUGGAGCUUUGCUGCCUUUGUGUUUGUUAUGAAUUCUCUCACUCCUCAGGUUUUCAGUGUUGAUAGGAGUUUUGUUCUUUACUUGGCUUCUCAGCACUCUGACACUCUUUUCCACUAAUUUUCUUUUUCUUGCUUCUUUAUUUCCCUCAACAGCAAGAUGUGAUGUACCAGUGGCAUUUUCUUUUUGAAUGAGUUCUUUGUUUGCUGGCCGCUUCCUUCUAGUAUACACCUUCAGUUUUCCACUUUCCUUUCCUUUUAUGAGGGAUCUCUUACCAGCUUCGCAGCCAAGCAUUGCUACUGUUUCUAGUGUCUUCACUUCAGGGGUGAUAAUUUGAAUACUCUCUAUCCCAAGGCCAGAGAAAUUGAUUAUAAUUCCAUCUAAAGGAAUUGUGAUGCUACUGGUGCUUCUACUGGUGCCACAACCUUGAAUUUGCUGAGCAUGCUGCAUAACAACUCUCUUGAGGCAUUUCCUACUGCUGCAUUGACUCCAACUCACUGUUUUGAGCUUGAUUUGGGGAAGCUUCUUGGAGUUGAGCAUUUUCAGCAAGUGGAUUCUGCUGCAUUUCCUCACCAGGGAUCAAAGGAGCUUCAACUGCGGCAUCAUUAUUUUAUGGAAUAAGAGGAAUCACAACUUGUUCAGGACCAGCAACAGGAACGAAAAGAGGCUGAUCAGCUUGGUUGACUGAGCUAACAUUGGAGCCUUGGUUUUGGUCAUCCUGAUCAUCUCCGAUUGGCCAUUCCCCAAAGCCUUGCUGGUUCAUCUGAUUUUCUGCCAAUUCAGCCACUUGUUCAGGUUCUCCAGGGGCUACAGGUCCUUCAUGAGGGUGAGGGUUACCAUUGUUUGGAGGGGGUGGGAUUUCCUCAUCGGGCAUCAUAUCUGCAAAUUCAUUGUUGAGGAUAUACACAGGCACAGUCCAAGAUCUCCCCUCUCCAUCUAUAGUUCUACCAGCUUUCAGUUUCAGGCUACGAGGUAUUUCUAGUAGAUCCUCAAAUAGUACUUUCACCAAUACCCUUGACAAACUGUAAUCUGUAGCAUGCCAAUGAACAACCUGAGCAAAAGGGCUACAUGCUUUAUCUAUAUAUUGUUUUUCCUUGUAAUCCAGGGGGUAUCCCAGAAGUAAAAUCCAACCAAUCCUAUUGAAAGGUGACCUCUUACAGUU
Panicum virgatum (switchgrass) is the source of this 7762-nucleotide RNA transcript. It is a transcript of the gene named transcription factor IIIB 90 kDa subunit-like, with no coding region annotated. Lineage: Eukaryota; Viridiplantae; Streptophyta; Magnoliopsida; Poales; Poaceae. The record is from RefSeq and is a predicted model, not a curated record. The transcript has 8 exons.